UACGGAGGGUGCAAGCGUUAAUCGGAAUUACUGGGCGUAAAGCGCACGCAGGUGGCUGAGUCAGUCGAUUGUGAAAGCCCUGGGCUUAACCUAGGAAUUGCAGUCGAUACUACUCGGCUAGAGUAUGGGAGAGGGCAGUGGAAUUCCCGGUGUAGCGGUGAAAUGCGUAGAUAUCGGGAGGAACAUCAGUGGCGAAGGCGACCGACUGGGCUACAUCUGACGCUGAGAUGCGAAAGUGUGGGGAGCAAACGGG
This 253-nucleotide ribosomal RNA is filed under the name uncultured prokaryote. RNAcentral's name for it is "partial 16S ribosomal RNA". It matches the Rfam family "Bacterial small subunit ribosomal RNA", at positions 524 to 776 of the family's 1533-position model. The record is from RNAcentral.